UUGGAUGCUCUUGGUUAGUUGC
RNAcentral lists this non-coding RNA (22 nucleotides) under Arabidopsis thaliana (thale cress). Lineage: Eukaryota; Viridiplantae; Streptophyta; Magnoliopsida; Brassicales; Brassicaceae. The record is from RNAcentral.